CCUUUAUAUAUUCUGGAUAAAAUUUAUUUUAUUUUUGUUGUGGUCCCUCUCGAGGUUUGGUGUCAUCCUUCACAGUGAGAACUCUUUCAUUCUGGAAAGUUCUAUUUCAUUCUUUCUUCCUCUCCCCUCUGUUGUCUUCUUGGGAAAUCGCUAGUGGAUGAAGAUGGGCCAUCUCUUAGAUUUUCUUCCAUCCGUUCCAUCUCAUCCCCUGUUGAAGGCAGGUGCUUCCGGUGCCUGGGACUUUGCUGGUGAUCCUUGCUGUGGAAGGAAAUGGAACAGGACAGGGCAGGGGCCUGCGUUGGGAGCAGAUCUGCAACCCCCAGCUGUACAGAGCAGCAGACACUGCAGGGCCUUGUGCCAUAGGAGCACACGUGCCCCCGCGUGUUGGGGGCGCCCCCGGUUCACAUGUGCAGUGCAUGUCUCGCUGUGGAUUUGAGAACCGUGCAAGCUGCCGUCUGGGAGGUGGUUCGCUGUGUGCUGGACACGAUGUUGGUUCUGAAGAACAGUGACAUGCAGAGGAUUCCGGGCUGUGAGCCUGAGCCUGUGGAGAAACUGAGGAAAUUGCUCAGAG
Myotis daubentonii (Daubenton's bat) is the source of this 571-nucleotide long non-coding RNA. RefSeq lists it as uncharacterized. The record is from RefSeq and is a predicted model, not a curated record. Lineage: Eukaryota; Metazoa; Chordata; Mammalia; Chiroptera; Vespertilionidae. The transcript is spliced from 4 exons.